Molecule: long non-coding RNA, 667 nt
Organism: Ziziphus jujuba (common jujube)
Lineage: Eukaryota; Viridiplantae; Streptophyta; Magnoliopsida; Rosales; Rhamnaceae
Exons: 2
Source: RefSeq, a predicted model, not a curated record
GCAACAUAUUUUUCUUUCUCUUGUAUGAAUGAAUCACACUUUCAAACAUUUUAGGGAUAACAACCAAAAAAAAUAAAAGUCAAUAGACCAACAAUUUCAAGAAACUAAUCCCUAUAAAUAGAGAUCUCCGCACAACACAAAAUCACAAAUCAAAGCAAAUUUCAAUACAAAUCUAGAAAGAAAAAGAAAAGAGUGUGAUAUAUUACUUUGCUGCAAGGAUGAGUACGGAGUGCGAAGGAAAAAGUUCAUGGCCAGAGCUUGUGGGAAAGGAAGGGAAAGUAGCUGAAGAAACAAUUGAGAGAGAGAAUCCUCUUGUGGAUGCUAUUAUUGUGGACAAAGACGCAGAAGUCACAACCGACUUCCGUUGUGAUAGGGUUUGGGUUCGGGUUAACACUUCUGGAAUUGUCGUGAGUGUUCCUACCAUUGGUUAGGAACUAAUAUAUAUAUAUAUCUAUAUGUUUAUAUAUAUGCCUCAAAAUGCUCGAGGGGAGGCCUUCUCGAUCCUCUAGCAAAUAUAUAUAUAUAUAUAUAUAUGUUUGUUACUGUUUCUGUUUGUACUAUGUAAAAUAAUUCCUGCAAAAGGAAAUAACUAAGAAGAUGAUUGUAUGCAUUAUUUUCCAUUUGUUAUGUCUAUGGAAAGUAAAUAAGAUAUUAUUUCCUCCGUAAA